RNAcentral lists this ribosomal RNA (253 nucleotides) under uncultured bacterium. RNAcentral's name for it is "partial 16S ribosomal RNA". It matches the Rfam family "Bacterial small subunit ribosomal RNA", at positions 524 to 776 of the family's 1533-position model. The record is from RNAcentral.
UACGUAGGGGGCUAGCGUUGUCCGGAAUCAUUGGGCGUAAAGAGCGUGUAGGCGGUCCGGUAAGUCCGCUGUGAAAGUCGGGGGCUCAACCCUCGAAUGCCGGUGGAUACUGUCGGGCUAGAGUGCGGAAGAGGCGAGUGGAAUUCCUGGUGUAGCGGUGAAAUGCGCAGAUAUCAGGAGGAACACCUAUUGCGAAGGCAGCUCGCUGGGACGUCACUGACGCUGAGGCGCGAAAGCGUGGGGAGCGAACAGG